UUCUGAGGGUACCACUUCCCCAAUCAGCUACACAGGACCACUGCUGUACUCCAACUGACUGAAGAAGCAGCAUCCUUUGAAGUAAAAGCCACGGCAACAGAAGCAACCAGGUGAGAAUCCUAGGCUUCAGAACCACAGACUUUCCCAUCGAGAACUUUGAUGAACUUCCAGGGAGCCUUGCUGGGACCUUGCUGCUACUGUGGCCAACACAUCAAGAGUCCCAACUCUUUCCAGGGCUUUUAAAGUGGUGGUAGCAAUUCCCGCAGGGAUGGCUGUCAAGUCCCUGGUGUCUCGCUCUGCACCUGCCUGGCUCCACCAAUCAGCUGCAGCUCUGCUGGCUGCAGGGUCCUCACAGUGCCGGUUCUACCAUAUGUCCUGACAUAGGAUAACAUUUUCAAAAGCACAUAAGAGAUCUAGGAACUCAAAGCUGGCUAAAAGCUUUGUGAGAUGGACACCUAAGUGCCACACUGAAAUGCAACUUACAGGAUAUAACUUGGUUUUGUGUGAUAACAGACAUGGUCUGUGCUUGUACUUUCUACCAAGAACUCUUCAGAAAGAUGCUAAUAUAGGCUGUGUGGAUGGAGGCUUGGCUGCUGCUUCUCUCCUAUCCAAACUGAAACAGGAAGACUAAGAAAAGUUUUAGCAAUUUCUUCUAGGGAGAGUGUCCACAUUUCCAAAAGAGAUCAACCUUCCUCAGUUUAGGGAAAUAUCAACAGAUACCAUUUGAUAACACUUUGCAUACAUGUUAGAUCUUCCCUGUACUGAUUUUUUUACACUAAUCUUUUGGUGGGGGUGAGAUCCCCAUAUGCUUAGAACACUGGAAUAUUUCACAGUGUUGCUCCACAUGAGCAUCAUAAGAAAUGAAGGAAGGCCUUAAGUAUUCCCAGAACAAUUAAAGACUUAAUGUAAAGGAAGGUUCCAAAAUAUUUGCGGUCACAGAUGCAUUUGAAACCCCAAAAGCCUGAGUGGACCAUUAAGUUUACUAGCUCCUAAUACAUCUUUACAUUUCUUUCCCCCAGAGAAUGUUUCUCUCACUGUUCUAUUAGAUGCUGACCAUGGAGCGGGUGCAAUUUUUGCUCCUUUGCUUUGUUUCAAAUUGAUGUGCUCUGUAAAGCUGAAUAAAUCAAAUGAUUAAAAAAUGAGUGGAUGAGAAAGGCACUUCAGUGCAGUCUCUUCCCAUACAUAAUCUAGGCAUGGAAUCUCAGAGAUGGGAGGGACAGGUGAAAAAGAAAGGAAAAAUGUGGUAGCAGAAACCUAUACUCUGCAGCAAAUAUUAAAUAAAGGGAUAAUUGGGGCGUGGUGUUGAGUGCACAUACAUGCAUUUCACACUUGAGCCCAAAUUAUUUAUCAACACUCUACUCCAUAAUACUAAGGGGAUGUAUAGCUGCUCUGUCCAAGGAGAGUUCCUCUCUGUAUAUACUUGGUCUGGAGAAUAAAAAUGUGUUGCUGACCUUUUGUGGUAGAUUACUAGUCCACUGUAUUGGCCAGCAAGUGGGAGUCACAGAAUUUGCUUUCUCCUGCAUGCCUGGACCCUAAACCUCAUUACCUGGAGUAGGAUUUUAGGUGGACUUUUAUUCCUAAGCAUGGGCAAAUAAAUGGGUGCUUGUAGUUGUUAAAAAAAAAAGUGGCGCUUUACUUGGAACUUGGCGUGCUCCUGUGCUGAGCCCAGUGCAUGCCCAGAAGAGGCAGUGUCUUAUUUGGACCGUUCUUGCCCAACAUCUGUAUAGAUCAGGCAAUUUACUGGGGCUUUUUGGUGCUUUUAUCUAAUAGCUGAUUGAAUUAGCUUUACCUAAAGGUGCCAAAAAGUCCCACUGAAGCACUCAUUCUAUACAGAUGCUGCAGAGUUGGGUUGAAGUAACACGCUACUUCUUCCAGUAAAGUGUAUUGUGACCUAACUUGUAUCAGGAGAGAUCUGGGACAGAAGUUCAAGAGACUGGUCUAACCUAAAGUGAUUCAAUCUGCUACUGCUUAAACUGAAUUCUGCCAUUUUGAAACCAGUCUAUAUGCAAUGAACUUCUGUCCUGUUACAGGUUUAGAAUGAUUUCCGACCAUUUAUACAGAUUUAUGUGCAAUUUCUCUCCUUAGCCAUAGUGACAUCACAACAUCACAAAUUAAAUCAGGGAGUAAGGAGUACUAAAAAUGUUUAUAUGAAAAUAUUCAGGAAAA
Molecule: long non-coding RNA, 2166 nt
Organism: Alligator mississippiensis (American alligator)
Lineage: Eukaryota; Metazoa; Chordata; Crocodylia; Alligatoridae
Exons: 3
Source: RefSeq, a predicted model, not a curated record